RNAcentral lists this unclassified non-coding RNA (483 nucleotides) under uncultured Exophiala. RNAcentral's name for it is "sequence contains ITS1, 5.8S rRNA gene and ITS2". The stretch from base 104 to 258 matches the Rfam family "5.8S ribosomal RNA". The record is from RNAcentral. Lineage: Eukaryota; Fungi; Ascomycota; Eurotiomycetes; Chaetothyriales; Herpotrichiellaceae.
ACCGCCGGGGGGUUUGCCCCUGGAGAGCGCCCGCCGACUGCCCUACCCAAACUCUUGUACCAAAACAGUGUCGUCUGAAUUCAAAAAGGUUAAUUAAAAACAAAACUUUCAACAACGGAUCUCUUGGUUCGGGCAUCGAUGAAGAACGCAGCGAAAUGCGAUAAGUAAUGCGAAUUGCAGAAUUUCCGUGAGUCAUCGAAUCUUUGAACGCACAUUGCGCCCAUUGGUAUUCCGAUGGGCAUGCCUGUUCGAGCGUCAUUAUCCUCCCUCAAACCCCCGGUUUGGUGUUGGACCGCGUCGACCCGCGAGGGUCGACUGGUCUCAAAGACAAUGACGGCGUCCGUGGGACCCUCUUCGCAACGAGCUUUCGGGCACGCAAAACACAAAGGACCCGCGGGCCGCCCACCCUUUUUAUCAUUUACAAGGUUGACCUCGGAUCAGGUAGGAAUACCCCGCUGAACUUAAGCAUAUCAAUAAGCGGAG